GCUGUUUUCGUGUGGUUCCUUGA
This 23-nucleotide microRNA is filed under the name Eisenia fetida (common brandling worm). Its description in RNAcentral is "Efe-Mir-29-P2k_5p* (star (passenger))". The record is from RNAcentral. Lineage: Eukaryota; Metazoa; Annelida; Clitellata; Crassiclitellata; Lumbricidae.